GUAGGGAAUAUUGCGCAAUGGGGGAAACCCUGACGCAGCGACGCCGCGUGAGUGAUGAAGGCCUUCGGGUCGUAAAGCUCUGUUGCAGGGGAAUAAAAAAAUGAAUGUACCCUGUGAGGAAGGAUCGGCUAACUUCGUGCCAGCAGCCGCGGUAAGACGAGGGAUCCUAGCGUUGCUCGGAAUCAUUGGGCGUAAAGAGGGCGUAGGUGGCUUGGUAAGUCAGGUGUGAAAGCCCAGGGCUCAACCCUGGAAGUGCAUUUGAUACUGCUGAGCUUGAGUGUCGGAGAGGUUACCGGAAUACCUGGUGUAGUGGUGAAAUACGUAGAUAUCAGGUGGAACACCGGAGGCGAAGGCGGGUAACUGGACGAACACUGACACUGAGGCCCGAAAGCGUGGGGAUCAAACAGGAUUAGAAACCCCUGUAGUCC
RNAcentral lists this ribosomal RNA (428 nucleotides) under uncultured bacterium. RNAcentral describes it as "partial 16S ribosomal RNA". It matches the Rfam family "Bacterial small subunit ribosomal RNA", at positions 354 to 796 of the family's 1533-position model. The record is from RNAcentral.